This 481-nucleotide ribosomal RNA is filed under the name uncultured bacterium. Its description in RNAcentral is "partial 16S ribosomal RNA". It matches the Rfam family "Bacterial small subunit ribosomal RNA", at positions 28 to 507 of the family's 1533-position model. The record is from RNAcentral.
GACGAACGUUGGCGGCGUGCUUAAUACAUGCAAGUCAACUGAAGCAGUGGUAGCAAUAUCGCUGUGGAGGUGGCGCACGGGUGAGUAACACGUAGGUAAUCUGCCUUCAGGUCUGGCAUAACUCCGGGAAACCGGGGCUAAUAGCAGAUGAUGCAGCGGCUCGACAUCGAGACAGUUGUUAAAGCUAUGGCGCCUGAAGAUGAGCCUGCGUCUGAUUAGCUAGUUGGCGGGGUAACGGCCCACCAAGGCAACGAUCAGUAGCUGGUCUGAGAGGAUGAUCAGCCACACUGGAACUGAGACACGGUCCAGGCUCCUACGGGGGGCAGCAGUAAGGAAUAUUGCUCAAUGGGAGAAAUCCUGAAGCAGCAACGCCGCGUGAGGGACGAAGGGCUUUUGCUUGUAAACCUCUGUAGUGAGAGAAAAAAAUCCCAAUCUUUGGGACAUGAUGGUAUCUCAAAAGUAAGCCCCGGCUAACUACGUG